AUUGAACGCUGGCGGCAGGCCUAACGCAUGCAAGUCGAGCAGAUGAAGGGAGCUUGCUCCUGGAUUCAGCGGCGGACGGGUGAGUAAUGCCUAGGAAUCUGCCUGGUAGUGGGGGAUAACGUCCGGAAACGGGCGCUAAUACCGCAUACGUCCUGAGGGAGAAAGUGGGGGAUCUUCGGACCUCACGCUAUCAGAUGAGCCUAGGUCGGAUUAGCUAGUUGGUGGGGUAAAGGCCUACCAAGGCGACGAUCCGUAACUGGUCUGAGAGGAUGAUCAGUCACACUGGAACUGAGACACGGUCCAGACUCCUACGGGAGGCAGCAGUGGGGAAUAUUGGACAAUGGGCGAAAGCCUGAUCCAGCCAUGCCGCGUGUGUGAAGAAGGUCUUCGGAUUGUAAAGCACUUUAAGUUGGGAGGAAGGGCAGUAAGUUAAUACCUUGCUGUUUUGACGUUACCAACAGAAUAAGCACCGGCUAACUUCGUG
This 484-nucleotide ribosomal RNA is filed under the name uncultured bacterium. RNAcentral describes it as "partial 16S ribosomal RNA". It matches the Rfam family "Bacterial small subunit ribosomal RNA", at positions 30 to 507 of the family's 1533-position model. The record is from RNAcentral.